UCGGCUCCUUCUUCACCAACGUCGACCAGCAGCUGAGUCCCGCCACUGAAAACCACGGAGAAGGAGACGGCGCGUCUGCCGGGCAGAGAGCAAACGCACCAACAUCUGCAGGAGGAAACGCACCGUGAGGACAAAGCGACGCUCACAGAGCAGCUUCUUCAGUUUCUCACCGCAGCAGGAAGAUGAAGCUCAGAGCCGUAUCCAUCCCAAAGGCCUCUAUCUCCAGCCGUUCAAGCUGCCGAGGAGGAAAUACACUGAAAUGAAAUGGUCCUUGGAGCUGCGGCUGCAGUCAGUCUGAAGUCUGAUGAUCUUUGGGUCUGUAAAACAGAAAUAUGAAAACCGUUGAAGCAGAACACCGACAGCCUCCAGAGGAGGGACGCUGCUCUGGGAUCAGAUCGACCGUUGGUUCGCAGCUGGUGACAGAAAAACAGGACAUCUUCUCACUGUGGUUCCAACUGGCGUCCGAGAUAAGAUCCCCACACCAAAGAAACACAAUCGCUACAACACAUAGUGUUGGUCUGUGUAAAACUAGUAUGAUGAGAAUUGUUGUAACAUUCUUCUUUUGGUUUUUUAAUAUUAUUAUAGCAACAUGAAGAUCUUCUUACUGUCGACAUUGUGUUGAAUGAAUCUUUCUGUUGGAUUUCUCUCCAGGGAUUUGAUCCCAAAUACAACUUGACAAUAAUUUUUUAAAGCACUGAUAUUCCACUAUUGUAGAUAUGAUGUACAUGCGUGUUAGUGACGUAAAAAAGAGCAGGUUGUCUCCGGAUGAAACGGCGCCCCCUGUUUGUAACGUGAGUAUAAUCAAACAAUCACAGCGAGUCUAACUGAGAAAAAACAGGUGAAUCUGAUUUCUAAGUAUUGCCGUAUCAUUAUGUAAUAAAAUGUGGCACCGUGGAAGUGAAUUUAGACAACAGUUAGCUGGCUUCCAGCCAUUGCUAAUGCUAAUGCUAAUGCUUCUAGCAUAGGUGGCGGCGGAGUGUCAACAAACAAAAUGGCGUCUCAGCAACACGUGCGCUGUCAUUAUCGGACCGAUGGAGAUGGUUUAAGGACCCUGAAAAAAAAGAGACCCAGCUUCACAUCCCGCUAGCAUCAUUAAAGUUGACAUCGCUGCCCAGCUGCGACGCACACAGGACCGCGACAGUGAAAGUACAACAGACUGAAGAUCCAUCCGACUCGGAUGAAACCGCAUGGCGUCGUUUCUUCUUCUUCUACUCUCCUCCCCGGGUCACGGGGUCACGGCGCAGUAAUAAACUGCCGAGUCGCUCCAUGUGGCGUCGAGCAGCAGCAGCGAGCCGUCGGCUCCAGCGGAGACCUUCCCCGGGCCCACGGCGGCGCCGUACUUCACGUCGGAGGCGUUUGUGGACCUGAAGGCCAGCAGCAGCUCCGGGCGGCGUCCUGCCGCUGUCCGGUACCAGCUGAGGGUGGAGGAGGCGUUGGUGGAGGAGGCGUUGGUGGAGGCGUCCAGCAGGGGGCACCGCAGGGCGGCGUCCUCCCCGACCCUCACCCGCACGGGGGAGGCUGGCAACGCGGCGGCGGCGUGCGGCUCCCACCGGAAACCUGAGACACGUGUUUAUUUAUAAUCGUUUUCAUCCACACAGACAGAAUCAAUAUAACUAAAGUAGGUUGUAGUAGAACUAGUUCUGAGAAGAAAAAAAAAAUGCUUUUGAUUCCAAACAGUAAGAAAUUACAUUUGAAACAAAAGUAAUAAUAUAGCUUUUCAAGUUAAAACGAGAUGGAAAGUUGAUUUAAUUUCGUGCCGCUAAGUGGUGACUGACCAAUAGUUGCACCUCUGAAUAUUUGUUCCUCCAUUAAUCCUGAAUAUUUAAACAUGUAAAGUAUCGUUCAGGCGCUGCAUUUCUAAUCCUUCUUAAAGGAAGCUUUAAUUUGAAGGAACGUUCGGCAUAAAAUCCCUUCAAUUUGCCCAAAAUGAGUCUUCUACCUGUCAACAGUUGAUGCGUUUAGUCACCAGAUUAUGAAUCAGUUGCCUGAAGAUUAUAUUUCAAUAUCAAUUUAAGCAUAAAACUAAAUAUGUGUAUGCAGAGUUUAGACAUUAAUAAUAUAAACAAAACAACUCACUGCUGAAAGAGAGGAUCAGACCAACCAGCAGAGACUCCAUCACUGAGGAAGCUGCUAACUGAAAGACUUCAAUGACAAAGAUGUCCUCCGGUGGUGGAGACACUGAGACAAGAGCCGAUCACACAUCAGUCCCGCUCUGUUAUUGAUCCACACCAACAGCUACUUCCUGUUUACUUCCUGGUGUUGCAGUGAUGGUUGAGCGUGUGGGUCUAAAUCACCAGGGGGGUAAAUGUGACCAUGGAACACCUGCAGGAAGUUUAAGUAACCGCUUGUCUUUUAUAGAUGAGAAUAUUUUCGUUGUAAGAUUGAACUAGUUUAUAAUCCCAAACAGAUUUAAUAAUUAGUUCAAACUUUAGCUAUCAACUCGUUUAUGUCAGCAGAAAAUUAAAACCAUAAAUGAGUGCAGUCGGUAAAUAUAUGAAUUGAAUAUUAUAUUAGGAAUGUGGCAGGUAAAAGUACCCGUGCUACCCAACCAAACCCUGCCGGUGCCUUGGGGAGGAUUUACAGUGGGCAGACUGACCCGUAAACAGGCGUCAGAAAACACUUCCAAGGUUCUAGAACCUCGGGGACGGUCUCAUCUGAACCGCUAUAUUAAUAAUGUUAAUAUUAUUGUUACGAUCAUUAUAAUCACAUUAUUAUUUAUACUACUUAAACGUAUCAUUAUUUUAUAUUAUUAUCUCUGUUAGUAAUAUUUAUGCAUUAUUGCCUUUUUAUUUAUUAUUGUUAUUUAUGUUGUCAUUGUUGUUAUCAUGACAGUUGGACUCUAGGUGUGGCCCC
This is a long non-coding RNA of Gasterosteus aculeatus aculeatus (three-spined stickleback), 2853 nucleotides long. NCBI's taxonomy places the organism in Eukaryota, Metazoa, Chordata, Actinopteri, Perciformes, Gasterosteidae. The record is from Ensembl.